GAUGAAGAACGUAGCGAAAUGCGAUAAGUAAUGUGAAUUGCAGAAUUCAGUGAAUCAUCGAAUCUUUGAACGCACAUUGCGCCCCUUGGUAUUCCGAGGGGCAUGCCCGUUCGAGCGUCAUUAUACCCCUCAAGCCUAGCUUGGUGUUGGGGCCUGCUGUUACCGGCAGCCCUUAAAAUCAGUGGCGGCGCCAUCUGGCUCUAAGCGUAGUAAUUCUUCUCGCUAUGGAGUCCUGGUGGAUGCUUGCCAUCAACCCCCAAUUUUUCUAUGGUUGACCUCGGAUCAGGUAGGGAUACCCGCUGAACUUAAGCAUAUCAAUAAGCGGAGGA
RNAcentral lists this unclassified non-coding RNA (329 nucleotides) under soil metagenome. RNAcentral describes it as "partial contains 5.8S ribosomal RNA, internal transcribed spacer 2, and large subunit ribosomal RNA". The stretch from base 1 to 120 matches the Rfam family "5.8S ribosomal RNA", at positions 35 to 154 of the family's 154-position model. The record is from RNAcentral.